This 24-nucleotide non-coding RNA is filed under the name Cricetulus griseus (Chinese hamster). The record is from RNAcentral. RNAcentral also lists the same sequence under 2 other names. Lineage: Eukaryota; Metazoa; Chordata; Mammalia; Rodentia; Cricetidae.
GAUUUUUGGAACUAGGAGUUGGAA